GAGCUGGAUGCCGGGCUCGAUCCUACGAACUGACAGAGAUUAGCACCACCCCUGUGCAAGGAUGACACACAAAUUCAUGAAGUGUUCCGUAUGUUU
Panthera pardus (leopard) is the source of this 96-nucleotide small nuclear RNA. The record is from Ensembl. NCBI's taxonomy places the organism in Eukaryota, Metazoa, Chordata, Mammalia, Carnivora, Felidae.